AUGAGGGCCCCCGCUCAGCUCCUGGGGCUCCUGCUGCUCUGGCUCCCAGAUAAGGAAGGAGCACACUGGAAUUAUGCUCAAUCCAGUGUGAUGACCCAGUCUCCAUCCUCCCUGUCUGCUUCUGAAGGAAACAGUAUCACUAUCACUUGCCGGGCCAGUCAAGGCAUUAGCAGUUACUUAAACUGGUAUCAGCAGAAACCAGGGAAAGCUCCUAAACUUCUGAUCUAUAGGGCAUCCAGCUUAGAAAGUGGGGUUCCGUCGAGGUUCAGUGGCAGUGGAUCUGGGACAGAUUUCAGUCUCACCAUUAACAGCGUGGAGCCUGAAGAUGUUGCAACUUAUUACUGUCAACAGGGUAACAACUGGCCUCCCACGGUGAUACAAGCCAUAACAUAA
Non-coding RNA from Heterocephalus glaber (naked mole-rat), 393 nucleotides. Lineage: Eukaryota; Metazoa; Chordata; Mammalia; Rodentia; Bathyergidae. The record is from the annotation of a RefSeq genome assembly.